RNAcentral lists this ribosomal RNA (492 nucleotides) under uncultured bacterium. RNAcentral's name for it is "partial 16S ribosomal RNA". It matches the Rfam family "Bacterial small subunit ribosomal RNA", at positions 29 to 507 of the family's 1533-position model. The record is from RNAcentral.
AGUGAACGCUGGCGGUAGGCCUAACACAUGCAAGUCGAACGGCAGCACAGUAAGAGCUUGCUCUUACGGGUGGCGAGUGGCGGACGGGUGAGGAAUACAUCGGAAUCUACUUUUUCGUGGGGGAUAACGUAGGGACACUUACGCUAAUACCGCAUACGACCUACGGGUGAAAGCAGGGGAGCUUCGGACCUUGCGCGAUUCAAUUAGACGAUGCCGGAUUAGCUAGUUGGCAAGGUAAGGGCCCGCCAAGGCAACGAUGCAUAGCCGACCUGAGAGGGUGAUCGGCCACACUGGAACUGAGACACGGUCCAGACUCCUACGGGAGGCAGCAGUAGGGAAUCUUCCGCAAUGGGCGCAAGCCUGACGGAGCAACGCCGCGUGAGUGAUGAAGGUCUUCGGAUCGUAAAACUCUGUUAUUAGGGAAGAACAUAUGUGUAAGUAGCUGUGCACAUCUUGACGGUACCUAAUCAGAAAGCCACGGCUAACUACGUG